CUCCAGAACCCUAAACAAGGAAGAAGACGUAGCUAGGGUUUCAAAUCAGACGAAAAAAUGACGUUCAAGUAUCAUCAAUAUCCGGUUGUGGGAAGGGCAUUACCCACUGAGGAGGAGGAUACUCCUAAGAUUUAUAGGAUGGAGCUUUGGGCAACCGAUGAAGUUCGUGCUAAAUCUAAGUUUUGGAUAAGAUGAUUCAGCUUCGCCAAAAAAACAUCAGAGCAAAGAAAUGAAGAUGACAUUUAUAAUAAGGUUUUUGGAAGAAGAUUUAUAGAAGAGACGUAAGGAUCGUGGCUUAUGGAGAUUAUGUUCAAAACUCUGAAUUAUUCCGGCAAGAGAUUCAAAUGUUGAACCAAAUAGACCUGGAUGAAUAGUUCAAGUUAUGAAUGUAGUAUUUAAAUAUAGUUCAAGUUAUGAAUGUAGUAUUUAAAUUUUUAGUGUUUAGAAUAA
Long non-coding RNA from Papaver somniferum (opium poppy), 450 nucleotides. RefSeq lists it as uncharacterized. NCBI's taxonomy places the organism in Eukaryota, Viridiplantae, Streptophyta, Magnoliopsida, Ranunculales, Papaveraceae. The transcript has 3 exons. The record is from RefSeq and is a predicted model, not a curated record.